GAGAUCUACGGAUGAAAGCAGGGGAUCGCAAGACCUUGUGCUACUAGAGCGGCCGAUGGCAGAUUAGGUAGUUGGUGGGAUAAAAGCUUACCAAGCCGACGAUCUGUAGCUGGUCUGAGAGGACGAUCAGCCACACUGGGACUGAGACACGGCCCAGACUCCUACGGGAGGCAGCAGUGGGGAAUUUUGGACAAUGGGCGCAAGCCUGAUCCAGCAAUGCCGCGUGCAGGAUGAAGGCCUUCGGGUUGUAAACUGCUUUUGUACGGAACGAAAAGCCCUGGGUUAAUACCCUGGGGUCAUGACGGUACCGUAAGAAUAAGCACCGGCUAACUACGUGCCAGCAGCCGCGGUAAUACGUAGGGUGCAAGCGUUAAUCGGAAUUACUGGGCGUAAAGCGUGCGCAGGCGGUUUUGUAAGACAGAGGUGAAAUCCCCGGGCUCAACCUGGGAACUGCCUUUGUGACUGCAA
This 468-nucleotide ribosomal RNA is filed under the name Comamonas aquatica. Its description in RNAcentral is "bacterial SSU rRNA". It matches the Rfam family "Bacterial small subunit ribosomal RNA", at positions 189 to 638 of the family's 1533-position model. Lineage: Bacteria; Pseudomonadati; Pseudomonadota; Betaproteobacteria; Burkholderiales; Comamonadaceae. The record is from RNAcentral.